CAUUUCCUGAGCCUUGUGGUUGGAUGAAUGCAAACUUUCAACUAUUUCUAAUUCUUCUCUGACAUUUAAGAGGCUUUCAAUGUGCACUGUACAUCUCAGAUCAGCUCUUACUCAGAGAGGAAAUUUGAUCUGCUAUAACACGGAAACAUCAGCAGUGACCAUGGCGGGACAAAUUCCUUAGGGAGCUGCCUAUUUUCAAGCCAAGUGUUCAUGAUAUGAUCAAGCUAGCUUACAGAGAA
RNAcentral lists this long non-coding RNA (239 nucleotides) under Chrysolophus pictus (golden pheasant). RNAcentral describes it as "lncRNA (ENSCPIG00010004507.1)". The record is from RNAcentral. Lineage: Eukaryota; Metazoa; Chordata; Aves; Galliformes; Phasianidae.